GACGAACGCUGGCGGCGUGCUUAACACAUGCAAGUCGAACGGAAAGGCCCUGCUUGCAGGGUGCUCGAGUGGCGAACGGGUGAGUAACACGUGGGUGAUCUGCCCCUUACUUUGGGAUAAGCCUGGGAAACUGGGUCUAAUACUGGAUAGGACCAUGCUGUAGGUGGUGUGGUGGAAAGAUUAGUUUCGGUAAGGGAUGAGCUCGCGGCCUAUCAGCUUGUUGGUGGGGUAAUGGCCUACCAAGGCGUCGACGGGUAGCCGGCCUGAGAGGGUGGACGGCCCCAUUGGGACUGCGAUACGGCCCAGCCUCCUACGGGAGGCAGCAGUGGGGAAUAUUGCACAAUGGGCGCAAGCCUGAUGCAGCGACGCCGCGUGGGGGAUGACGGCCUUCGGGUUGUAAACUCCUUUCAGCCAUGACGAAGCCCUUGUGGUGACGGUAGUGGCAGAAGAAGCACCGGCUAACUACGUG
Molecule: ribosomal RNA, 469 nt
Filed under: uncultured bacterium
Lineage: Bacteria
Description: partial 16S ribosomal RNA
Rfam family: Bacterial small subunit ribosomal RNA
Source: RNAcentral